RNAcentral lists this ribosomal RNA (253 nucleotides) under uncultured bacterium. Its description in RNAcentral is "partial 16S ribosomal RNA". It matches the Rfam family "Bacterial small subunit ribosomal RNA", at positions 524 to 776 of the family's 1533-position model. The record is from RNAcentral.
UACAGAGGUCCCAAGCGUUGUUCGGAUUCACUGGGCGUAAAGGGUGCGUAGGCGGGUCUUUAAGUCAGGGGUGAAAUCCUGGAGCUCAACUCCAGAACUGCCUUUGAUACUGAGGAUCUUGAGUUCGGGAGAGGUGAGUGGAACUGCGAGUGUAGAGGUGAAAUUCGUAGAUAUUCGCAAGAACACCAGUGGCGAAGGCGGCUCACUGGCCCAAUACUGACGCUGAGGCACGAAAGCGUGGGGAGCAAACAGG